RNAcentral lists this ribosomal RNA (859 nucleotides) under uncultured bacterium. RNAcentral describes it as "bacterial SSU rRNA". It matches the Rfam family "Bacterial small subunit ribosomal RNA", at positions 9 to 915 of the family's 1533-position model. The record is from RNAcentral.
GAGUUUGAUCCUGGCUCAGAACGAACGCUGGCGGCAGGCCUAACACAUGCAAGUCGAGCGAGACCUUCGGGUCUAGCGGCGGACGGGUUAGUAACGCGUGGGAACGUACCCUUUUCUGCAGGAUAGCCACUGGAAACGGUGAGUAAUACCGCAUACGCCCUUCGGGGGAAAGAUUUAUCGGAGAAGGAUCGGCCCGCGUUAGAUUAGAUAGUUGGUGGGGUAACGGCCUACCAAGUCUACGAUCUAUAGCUGGUUUGAGAGGAUGAUCAGCAACACUGGGACUGAGACACGGCCCAGACUCCUACGGGAGGCAGCAGUGGGGAAUCUUAGACAAUGGGCGCAAGCCUGAUCUAGCCAUGCCGCGUGAGUGAUGAAGGCCUUAGGGUCGUAAAGCUCUUUCGCCUGUGAAGAUAAUGACUGUAGCAGGUAAAGAAACCCCGGCUAACUCCGUGCCAGCAGCCGCGGUAAUACGGAGGGGGUUAGCGUUGUUCGGAAUUACUGGGCGUAAAGCGCGCGUAGGCGGACAUUUAAGUCAGAGGUGAAAUCCCAGGGCUCAACCCUGGAACUGCCUUUGAUACUGGGUGUCUUGAGUUCGAGAGAGGUGAGUGGAAUUCCGAGUGUAGAGGUGAAAUUCGUAGAUAUUCGGAGAAACACCAGUGGCGAAGGCGGCUCACUGGCUCGAUACUGACGCUGAGGUGCGAAAGUGUGGGGAGCAAACAGGAUUAGAUACCCUGGUAGUCCACACCGUAAACGAUGAAUGCCAGUCGUCGGGUAGUAUACUAUUCGGUGACACACCUAACGGAUUAAGCAUUCCGCCUGGGGAGUACGGUCGCAAGAUUAAAACUCAAAGGAAUUGACG